CAUGUAGGCGGAUAUGCAAGCUUGGUGUGAAAGGCAGGGGCUUAACUCCUGGACUGCGUUGAGAACUGCAUAACUAGAGUAACUGAGGGGCAACCGGAAUUCCAGGUGUAGGGGUGAAAUCUGUAGAUAUCUGGAAGAACACCAAUGGCGAAGGCAGGUUACCAGCAGAUUACUGACGCUGAGGUGCGAAGGUGCGGGGUAGCAAACA
RNAcentral lists this ribosomal RNA (208 nucleotides) under uncultured bacterium. Its description in RNAcentral is "partial 16S ribosomal RNA". It matches the Rfam family "Bacterial small subunit ribosomal RNA", at positions 568 to 774 of the family's 1533-position model. The record is from RNAcentral.